AUUGAACGCUGGCGGCAGGCCUAACACAUGCAAGUCGAACGGUAACAGAAAGCAGCUUGCUGCUUUGCUGACGAGUGGCGGACGGGUGAGUAAUGUCUGGGAAACUGCCUGAUGGAGGGGGAUAACUACUGGAAACGGUAGCUAAUACCGCAUAACGUCGCAAGACCAAAGAGGGGGACCUUCGGGUCUCUUGCCAUCGGAUGUGCCCAGAUGGGAUUAGCUAGUAGGUGGGGUAAAGGCUCACCUAGGCGACGAUCCCUAGCUGGUCUGAGAGGAUGACCAGCCACACUGGAACUGAGACACGGUCCAGACUCCUACGGGAGGCAGCAGUGGGGAAUAUUGCACAAUGGGCGCAAGCCUGAUGCAGCCAUGCCGCGUGUAUGAAGAAGGCCUUCGGGUUGUAAAGUACUUUCAGCGGGGAGGAAGGGAGUAAAGUUAAUACCUUUGCUCAUUGACGUUACCCGCAGAAGAAGCACCGGCUAACUCCGUG
RNAcentral lists this ribosomal RNA (490 nucleotides) under uncultured bacterium. RNAcentral describes it as "partial 16S ribosomal RNA". It matches the Rfam family "Bacterial small subunit ribosomal RNA", at positions 30 to 507 of the family's 1533-position model. The record is from RNAcentral.